This is a long non-coding RNA of Erpetoichthys calabaricus (reedfish), 540 nucleotides long. RefSeq lists it as uncharacterized. Lineage: Eukaryota; Metazoa; Chordata; Cladistia; Polypteriformes; Polypteridae. The record is from RefSeq and is a predicted model, not a curated record. The transcript is spliced from 3 exons.
AAUCAUAUAUUCUCCACCUUUUUUCUGUAUGCUGUUAUAUUUUUAUUUCCUAGAUCAAUGCUGAGUUCACAAGAAUUACAACUGUCCCCUUGGAGACAAAGUUCUUGGCACAGUUAGACAAGCACUCCACCAAAUUGCUGGAAGUCAUUAAGCACAAUGGAGGAGCUGUAAAAGAGAAGACCACCAGGAUCUUGCAGGUUUUAGAUGAGACUAUGGACAUCAAUGUCAAAAGAGAAUGCAUCCUCAAAUCUCUGAUGAUCUACUUGGGUGAACCUGUUCAGCACCUUAUCAAAGAAUACCAGGUAAGAGCAUCUCUUUCUCACUCGCUGGCAGACCACAACACCUACAGACCCACCCUCAUGUACUGUUUCAGACUGUAUUCUUAUUAGGAUAUGCAGGAAAAUGAGGAAGAACUGGAGCAGGAAAUCUUGGCAAGCUUUGUCACUAGAAAGGAAGAUCCUUUCCAUCCACACAAAAACAUUAAGAUAGUCAUUGAAUGAAGAGAGGUCCUGAACGAUUUGCCCUCAGUUCCAACAGCUU